UCUGCAGUACCAAAUGGGUAUCAGCAAAGACAAUGGGGUCCAUUUAUGGGUCAGUAGGAGGAUGCUAUUGCCCCACAGCACUGGAUAGUUGUUUUGUUUUGUUUUAUUUAAGAGAUCAGCGAGGAUCACUGGAGGGCAUCUCUCUGGAAAAGAAGUGUGUGCAGUUGGACACUGGUGCCCAAAAGAGAUGACCAGUAAACAGACAGGCACAGCCAGGAGGGAACACGCAUAGCAUGUGGAGGACGCACGCAAGACAACAACACUCCGCAAGUGGAGCAGCAAGGCUUGGCAUGUUGUUGUUGCCCCCUCCUAGCCCACACAGCUUUGAAGAGUAACGGAUGAUGAUGGCAGAUAAGAAGAGAAUGGCAGCACGCACGUGUCUCUGGACAUUUCUUUUCCUGUCUGACUCUGUGGCAUGAGAUCGCCGCAUCUAUGUAUGGGCAAGCACAAUCUUCAAAUAAAAUGCUGUCAAUCAA
Hemicordylus capensis (graceful crag lizard) is the source of this 476-nucleotide long non-coding RNA. RefSeq lists it as uncharacterized. The transcript has 2 exons. NCBI's taxonomy places the organism in Eukaryota, Metazoa, Chordata, Lepidosauria, Squamata, Cordylidae. The record is from RefSeq and is a predicted model, not a curated record.